UUGCAUGUGCACGCCUUCGUUAUCUUUAUAUCUCCACCUGUGCACCUUUUGUAGACUAGGGAAGAAAAAAUCUGUAACGGAAAUUUGUAAGGAUAAGCCUUCAUUGGUUUUGAAAAAGCAUUUUUUCUUGGUUUUACUAUUUCCUACGUCUAUGUUUGUUUAUAUACCCCAAUAUAUGUAACCGAAUGUUUAAUAAAUGGGCCUUUGCGCCUAUAAACAAAAAUUAUACAACUUUCAGCAACGGAUCUCUUGGCUCUCGCAUCGAUGAAGAACGCAGCGAAAUGCGAUAAGUAAUGUGAAUUGCAGAAUUCAGUGAAUCAUCGAAUCUUUGAACGCACCUUGCGCUCCUUGGUAUUCCGAGGAGCAUGCCUGUUUGAGUGUCAUUUAAUUCUCAACCUUACGAAUUUAUUUUUAUUCGAAAGGCUUGGAUGUGAGGGUUUUUGCUGGCUUUAUUUUAAAGUCAACUCCCUUGAAAUGCAUUAGCAAGUGAUCAGACUUUGUCUAUUGGUGUGAUAACUAUCUACGCCAUUGGAUUGUCUUGUAUUUCACUGCUUCCAAUUUAAAGUUGUCUUUCGACAAUUCUAUUUGACCAUUUGACCUCAAAUCAGGUAGGACUACCCGCUGAACUUAAGCAUAUCAAUAAGCGGAGGAAAAGAAACUAAC
RNAcentral lists this ribosomal RNA (663 nucleotides) under uncultured fungus. Its description in RNAcentral is "eukaryotic LSU rRNA". The stretch from base 230 to 383 matches the Rfam family "5.8S ribosomal RNA". Lineage: Eukaryota; Fungi. The record is from RNAcentral.